RNAcentral lists this ribosomal RNA (255 nucleotides) under uncultured bacterium. RNAcentral describes it as "partial 16S ribosomal RNA". It matches the Rfam family "Bacterial small subunit ribosomal RNA", at positions 793 to 1055 of the family's 1533-position model. The record is from RNAcentral.
GUCCACGCCGUAAACGAUGGAUACUAGCUGUUCGGAGCAAUCUGAGUGGCUAAGCGAAAGUGAUAAGUAUCCCACCUGGGGAGUACGUUCGCAAGAAUGAAACUCAAAGGAAUUGACGGGGGCCCGCACAAGCGGUGGAGCAUGUGGUUUAAUUCGAUUAUACGCGAGGAACCUUACCAAGGCUUAAAUGUAGAUUGACCGGUUUGGAAACAGACUUUUCGCAAGACAAUUUACAAGGUGCUGCAUGGUUGUCGU